UAGUUUUUUUAGAAAUAAAUUUAAUUUACGAAUUUUUAAUUUUUAAUUUAUUUUUAUAAGUUAAAAAUUUAUUAAUUUGAAUAUUUUAAGGGAUGAGCUUUAAAAUAAAAUAUUAAAAAUUUUUAAUAAUUGUUAAAAAUGUAUGUUUAGAAUUAGCAAUCAUUUGUAAAUUUGUUAUAAAUUAUUUUAUAAAUUUUAUUAUUUAAUUUAUUUUAAUUUGUUUAUAAAAAUUUUUUUAUGAAUAUUUUGUAAAAAGUAAUAAUGAUUUAAUUAGUAUAAAUUAAAUAUUGUUUAGAUAAUUUAUUUUGUAAAGUUUAUAUAAAGAACUCGGCAAAUUUAUUUAUUUAUACCCGCCUGUUUAACAAAAACAUGUCUUUUUGAAUUGUAUUUAAAGUCUAACCUGCCCACUGAAUAAAUUUAAAUGGCCGCAGUAUUUUGACUGUGCAAAGGUAGCAUAAUCAUUAGUCUUUUAAUUGGAGGCUGGUAUGAAUGGUUGGACGAGGUAUAAGCUGUUUCAUAUAAAUUUAUUUUAGAAUUUUAUAUUUUAGUUAAAAAGCUAAAAUUUUAUUAAAAGACGAGAAGACCCUAUAAAUCUUUAUAUUUAAUUUUAUUUAAGUUUUUUUGAUUUGUUUUAUUUUUAUAAUAUUAGAUAUUUUGUUGGGGUGAUAUUAAAAUUUAAUGAACUUUUAAUUGUUUAAAAUCAUUAAUUUAUGAAUUAUUGAUCCAUUAAUAUUGAUUAUAAGAUUAAGUUACUUUAGGGAUAACAGCGUAAUUUUUUUUGAGAGUUCAUAUCGACAAAAAAGUUUGCGACCUCGAUGUUGGAUUAAGAUAUAAAUUUGGGUGUAGCUGUUC
This 852-nucleotide ribosomal RNA is filed under the name Anastrepha dryas. Its description in RNAcentral is "partial 16S ribosomal RNA". The record is from RNAcentral. Lineage: Eukaryota; Metazoa; Arthropoda; Insecta; Diptera; Tephritidae.